AUGAACGCUGGCGGCGUGCUUAAUACAUGCAAGUCGAACGAAGACAGUAGCAAUAUUGUCUGAGUGGCGAACGGGUGAGUAACGCGUUGGUGACCUGCCCCGAAGAGAGGGAUAACAGUCCGAAAGGAUUGCUAAUACCCCAUGUGGUCAUUUGGAUUAGAUGCCUUAUGACUAAACGGAUUUAUUCGCUUCGGGAGGGGCCUGCGUCCCAUCAGCUAGUUGGUAAGGUAAUGGCUUACCAAGGCGAUGACGGGUAGGGGACCUGAGAGGGUGGCCCCCCACAAUGGAACUGAAACACGGUCCAUACACCUACGGGUGGCAGCAGUAGGGAAUAUUGGUUAAUCUGGGGAACCGGGAACCAGCAACGCCGCGUGCACGAUGAAGGCCUUCGGGUUGUAAAGUGCUUUUUGAAAGGAUGAGGAAGGACAGUACUUUCAGAAUAAGCUUCGGCUAACUACGU
Molecule: ribosomal RNA, 460 nt
Filed under: uncultured bacterium
Lineage: Bacteria
Description: bacterial SSU rRNA
Rfam family: Bacterial small subunit ribosomal RNA
Source: RNAcentral